Rhinopithecus roxellana (golden snub-nosed monkey) is the source of this 761-nucleotide long non-coding RNA. RefSeq lists it as uncharacterized. NCBI's taxonomy places the organism in Eukaryota, Metazoa, Chordata, Mammalia, Primates, Cercopithecidae. The transcript is spliced from 3 exons. The record is from RefSeq and is a predicted model, not a curated record.
UUCGAGAAGAUGGCGGCCUGAGCCGGAGUCCUCCUUCCCCUCCUCCCUCUCCGCUGCUGCAAUGCCCAGGCCCCCCCACUUUCCUCGUCUGUAAUGGUGCCAGAGGCUUUAAAUCUUGCAGAAGCCACAUCUGCUGCCUGCAGUCUCAGGUAUGUCUUUAUCAGCAGUUUGAAAACGGACUAAUACCAUGUGUCACCCCUCACUCCUGCCCUGUCUGGAUCUGGACAAGAGCCCACCACUCAGUUGGCAGUAGUCAGGCAGCUCUGCCCCUAAGAACCUGCAGCUUUUGGAGGAAAGGCACCCUAUGGUUUCAGAAGCCCAAGAGUCCCUGCAGCUUAGCACCUCCAGCCUGGUGCUUGGCAGAUGAUUGCCUUCAGGGCUGAAAGGCGGAUCUCUUAGGAGAGGGAGCAAAAAACUGUGUAUUCUUCAGAACAUCAUGAUGACCUGGCAUUCAUGGGUCUACGGAGAGAAUGCAGGGGGUCCGGGAGCUUGGAUGGGAUAAAUUUGCAUCUUUAUUUUCAGGAAACUUUUACUGAAGUUUUGCAUUUUCUUUAAUUACAAAUGGAAUCAGUACAACCCAAUAGUAUGCACAGUGACUUCUCCACUGCAUUAAAGUGGCUGCAGACAAUUAUUUACAUUUAUCAUAACUUAGAAAUUUGGGUGGUAAUUAAACCAGCAACUAUUCUUUGUUUAAUGCAUUAAGAAAGAAGUAUGUAUACUAUCAUAUCUCAACUGAAAAUAUUUUAAGAACUGGAUUUUAA